Molecule: ribosomal RNA, 251 nt
Filed under: uncultured bacterium
Lineage: Bacteria
Description: partial 16S ribosomal RNA
Rfam family: Bacterial small subunit ribosomal RNA
Source: RNAcentral
CGGAGGAGCUAGCGUUGUUCGGAAUUACUGGGCGUAAAGCGCACGUAGGCGGCGAUUCAAGUCAGAGGUGAAGCCCGGGCUCAACCCCGGAACUGCCUUUGAAACUAGAUUGCUAGAAUCCUGGAGAGGUGAGUGGAAUUCCGAGUGUAGAGGUGAAAUUCGUAGAUAUUCGGAAGAACACCAGUGGCGAAGGCGACUCACUGGACAGGUAUUGACGCUGAGGUGCGAAAGCGUGGGGAGCAAACAGGAUU